GACGAACGCUGGCGGCGUGCUUAACACAUGCAAGUCGAACGGAAAGGCCCUGCUUGCAGGGUACUCGAGUGGCGAACGGGUGAGUAACACGUGGGUGAUCUGCCCUGCACUUCGGGAUAAGCCUGGGAAACUGGGUCUAAUACCGGAUAGGAGCCAUUUUUAGUGUGAUGGUUGGAAAGUUUUUUCGGUGUAGGAUGAGCUCGCGGCCUAUCAGCUUGUUGGUGGGGUAAUGGCCUACCAAGGCGGCGACGGGUAGCCGGCCUGAGAGGGUGGACGGCCACAUUGGGACUGAGGGACGGCCCAGACUCCUACGGGAGGCAGCAGUGGGGAAUAUUGCACGAUGGGCGCAAGCCUGAUGCAGCGACGCCGCGGGGGGGAUGACGGCCUUCGGGUUGUAAACUCCUUUCGCUAGGGACGAAGCUUUUUGUGACGGUACCUAGAUAAGAAGCACCGGCUAACUACGUG
This 465-nucleotide ribosomal RNA is filed under the name uncultured bacterium. RNAcentral describes it as "partial 16S ribosomal RNA". It matches the Rfam family "Bacterial small subunit ribosomal RNA", at positions 28 to 507 of the family's 1533-position model. The record is from RNAcentral.